GGAGGACCGUCCGUCUUCAUCUUCCCCCCGAAACCCAAGGACACCCUCACAAUAUCCCGAACACCGGAAGUCUCCUGCAUGGUGGUGGACGUGAGCAAGGAGGACCCCAAUGUCCAGUUCUCCUGGUACGUGGACGGUGUAGAGGUGCACACGGCCAAGACAAAGCCAAAGGAGGAGCAGUUCAACAGCACCUACCGUGUGGUCAGCGCCCUGCCCAUCCAGCACCAGGACUGGCUGACGGGAAAGGAGUUCAAGUGCAAGGUCAACAGCAAAGGCCUCCCAGCCCCCAUUGUGAGAACCAUCUCCAAGGACAAAGGGCAGACCCACGAGCCACAGGUGUACGUACUGGCCCCACCGCAGGAAGAGCUGGCCAAGAGCUCAGUCACCUUAACUUGCAUGGUCACCGACUUCUACCCGGGCGACAUCGACGUGGAGUGGCAGAGAAACGGGCAGCCAGAGUCAGUGGGCAAAUACAAUACAACGCCACCCCAGCAGGAGGACGAAGACUCCUUCUUCCUGUACAGCAAGCUCAGGGUGGACAAGACGAGCUGGCAGCAGGGAGACACCUACACGUGUGUAGUUUUGCACGAGGCUCUACACAAUCACAACACGCAGAAGUCCAUCUCCCAG
Non-coding RNA from Physeter macrocephalus (sperm whale), 630 nucleotides. The record is from the annotation of a RefSeq genome assembly. Lineage: Eukaryota; Metazoa; Chordata; Mammalia; Artiodactyla; Physeteridae.